AGAGUUUGAUCAUGGCUCAGAACGAACGCUGGCGGCAGGCCUAACACAUGCAAGUCGAACGCCCCGCAAGGGGAGUGGCAGACGGGUGAGUAACGCGUGGGAAUCUACCCAGUGGUACGGAACAACCAAGGGAAACUUUGGCUAAUACCGUAUACGUCCUUCGGGAGAAAGAUUUAUCGCCAUUGGAUGAGCCCGCGUCGGAUUAGGUAGUUGGUGAGGUAACGGCUCACCAAGCCUACGAUCCGUAGCUGGUCUGAGAGGAUGAUCAGCCACAUUGGGACUGAGACACGGCCCAAACUCCUACGGGAGGCAGCAGUGGGGAAUAUUGGACAAUGGGCGCAAGCCUGAUCCAGCCAUGCCGCGUGAGUGAUGACGGCCCUAGGGUUGUAAAGCUCUUUCGGCGGGGAAGAUAAUGACUGUACCCGCAGAAGAAGCCCCGGCUAACUUCGUGCCAGCAGCCGCGGUAAUACGAAGGGGGCUAGCGUUGUUCGGAAUCACUGGGCGUAAAGCGUAUGUAGGCGGAUUGUUAAGUCAGGGGUGAAAUCCCGAGGCUCAACCUCGGAACUGCCUUUGAUACUGGCUUUCUUGAGUUCGGGAGAGGUGAGUGGAACUCCUAGUGUAGAGGUGAAAUUCGUAGAUAUUAGGAAGAACACCAGUGGCGAAGGCGGCUCACUGGCCCGAUACUGACGCUGAUGUACGAAAGCGUGGGGAGCAAACAGGAUUAGAUACCCUGGUAGUCCACGCCGUAAACGAUGGAUGCUAGCCGUCCGGCUUGCUUUGCAAGUCGGUUGGCGCAGCUAACGCAUUAAGCAUCCCUGCCUGGGGAGUACGGUCGCAAGAUUAAAACUCAAAGGUAAUUGACGGGGGUCCCGCACAAGCGUGUGGAAUCAUGUGGUUCAAUUCGACGCUACGCGAGGAACCUUACCUGGGCUCGAAAUGCUAGUGACCAGCUGUAGAAAUACGGCCUUCCCGCAAGGGACACUAGUAUAGGCGCUGCAUGGCUGUCGUCAGCUCGUGCCGUGAGGUGUUGGGUUAAGUCCCGCAACGAGCGCAACCCCUGCACACAGUUGCUACUCCGCAAGGAGGGAACUCUGUGUGGACUGCUCCGGAUAACGGAGAGGAAGGUGGGGAUGACGUCAAGUCCGCAUGGCCUUUAUGUCCAGGGCUACACACGUGUUACAAUGCAGGGUACAAACCGUUGCCAACCCGCGAGGGGGAGCUAAUCGGAAAAAACUCUGCUCAGUUCGGAUUACAGUCUGCAACUCGACUGUAUGAAGCCGGAAUCGCUAGUAAUGGCGUAUCAGAUCGACGCCGUGAAUACGUUCCCGGGCCUUGUACACACCGCCCGUCACAUCACGAAAGUGAGUUGUACUAGAAGUCGCCGCGCCGACCGCAAGGAGGCAAGCGCCCAAGGUAUGACUCAUGAUUGGGGUGAAGUCGUAACAAGGUAACCGU
This 1455-nucleotide ribosomal RNA is filed under the name uncultured bacterium. RNAcentral describes it as "partial 16S ribosomal RNA". It matches the Rfam family "Bacterial small subunit ribosomal RNA". The record is from RNAcentral.